Molecule: ribosomal RNA, 620 nt
Filed under: uncultured Marmoricola sp.
Lineage: Bacteria; Bacillati; Actinomycetota; Actinomycetes; Propionibacteriales; Nocardioidaceae
Description: bacterial SSU rRNA
Rfam family: Bacterial small subunit ribosomal RNA
Source: RNAcentral
UAAACCUCUUUCAGCAGGGACGAAGCGCAAGUGACGGUACCUGCAGAAGAAGCACCGGCCAACUACGUGCCAGCAGCCGCGGUAAUACGUAGGGUGCGAGCGUUGUCCGGAAUUAUUGGGCGUAAAGGGCUCGUAGGCGGUCUGUUACGUCGGGAGUGAAAACUCGGGGCUCAACCCCGAGCCUGCUUCCGAUACGGGCAGACUAGAGGUAUGCAGGGGAGAAUGGAAUUCCUGGUGUAGCGGUGAAAUGCGCAGAUAUCAGGAGGAACACCGGUGGCGAAGGCGGUUCUCUGGGCAUUACCUGACGCUGAGGAGCGAAAGUGUGGGGAGCGAACAGGAUUAGAUACCCUGGUAGUCCACACCGUAAACGUUGGGCGCUAGGUGUGGGACUCAUUCCACGAGUUCCGUGCCGCAGCUAACGCAUUAAGUGCCCCGCCUGGGGAGUACGGCCGCAAGGCUAAAACUCAAAGGAAUUGACGGGGGCCCGCACAAGCGGCGGAGCAUGCGGAUUAAUUCGAUGCAACGCGAAGAACCUUACCAAGGCUUGACAUGUACGAGAACGCCCCAGAGAUGGGGUUCUCUUUGGACACUCGUACACAGGUGGUGCAUGGUUGUCGUCA